Molecule: ribosomal RNA, 377 nt
Filed under: uncultured eukaryote
Lineage: Eukaryota
Description: SSU rRNA
Rfam family: Eukaryotic small subunit ribosomal RNA
Source: RNAcentral
AGCUCCAAUAGCGUAUAUUUAAGUUGCUGCGGUUAAAAAGCUCGUAGUCGGAUUUCGGGUGGCGCCUACCGGUCCGCCUUUGGUGAGUACUGGUAGGUACCACCUUUCUGCCGAGGACGGGGUACUGGGCUUAGUUGUCUGGGCCUCGGAGUCGGCGAUGUCACUUUGAGUAAAUUAGGGUGUUCAAAGCAGGCUUAUGCUCUGUAUACACUAGCAUGGGAUGACACGAUAGGACUUCGGUUUAUCUUGUCGGUCUGUAGAUCGGAGUAAUGAUUAAGAGGGACAGUCGGGGGCAUUCGUAUUUCGUAGUCAGAGGUGAAAUUCUUGGAUUUACGGAAGACGAACUUCUGCGAAAGCAUUUGCCAAGGAUGUUUUCA